RNAcentral lists this ribosomal RNA (521 nucleotides) under Garthiope barbadensis. RNAcentral's name for it is "partial 16S ribosomal RNA". It matches the Rfam family "Bacterial large subunit ribosomal RNA", at positions 1830 to 2597 of the family's 2925-position model. The record is from RNAcentral. Lineage: Eukaryota; Metazoa; Arthropoda; Malacostraca; Decapoda; Xanthidae.
GUCCAUUUGAUGAUGUAAAUGGUCUGGCCUGCUCACUGAUAAGUGUAUUUAAGAGCCGCGGUAUUUUGACCGUGCAAAGGUAGCAUAAUCAUUAGAGGUUUAAUUGGAAUCUGGUAUGAAGGGUCGGACAAAGGAGAGACUGUCUUUGGAUUAUAAGUUGAAAUUUACUUUUAAGUGAAAAGGCUUAAAUACUUCAAAGGGACGAUAAGACCCUAUAAAGCUUUAUAAAUCAUUUUAAAUUUGAUUGAUUUGUUAAUAAAAAUUAAAUUUGAAUAUUUUAUUUUAUUGGGGCGAUGUGAGUAUAAUUUUUAUUAACUGUUUAAAAAGAAUACAAGUAUGGGUGUAUCUGAUUAGUGAAUGAUCCUUUUUAGAGAUUAAAAGACUAAGUUACUUUAGGGAUAACAGCGUUAUUUCUUUUGAGAGUUCAUAUCGAAAAAGAAGAUUGCGACCUCGAUGUUGAAUUAAAAUAUCUAUAUAAUGCAGCAGUUAUAAGAGAAGGUCUGUUCGACCUUUAAAUUUUU